CAGUGGGAUCCUGCAGGGGGCAGCGGUAACACAGGGCCAAGCUCGUUAAUAUCAGGCUACAGUUGCCGCCUUAGCAGGAUGAACUGGUCAAAGGUCGUUCUGGGACGGUAGCGGAGCACCGUGGACCUCACUGCUGGGGUUUGGGUUCUAACGGCAGCAGUGCCACGUGCCGCAGCACAGGUCACGCGGCUCGGACCCCUGACAGGGGAGAUGGCCUCUGGCAAUGAGCCGUUAGCAGCUCGCCCAGGAACUGUACAAACGUUUGCCUAAACAAGUCCGAAUCCAGACUGGGCAAGCUAUUCUGGGCGUUGGAAAAUCUCGUCACGUGCGCGUUUCGUUGGUCCUGGGAUUACUUAUGCAGGGAACAGCUACUGGGAAGCUGGGAGGUAUGCGCGGUCCCAGGACCGGGGCUGGAGGACUUCCUGAAGAUGGGGAUGAGCACAAGGCUGCGCGGUAAUGGGCAGUACAGUCGGACCCUCUCGGAAAGGAGAGGGAGCUCUGCAACUCCGUUUGUGAUGGCUGAAGAAGGGGACUGGAAGACAGAAUCCUUCUCACACUGCAGAAAAGCUGUACCAGGUAUUCGUGGUUCUUGAUUGCUUGACUCGGUCGUGCUGGAUGUUGGGACAACGCGUAAAUCUGGAGAAUCCGAAAGGGUCCCCGAGGAACACGGAAGACCGCUUCAGUGGAAUGGGGCCGGAGACUGGGGAGAGCUGGAGCUCCUCCGCGUGAAGUAACCCUGCCUGCGCGUGCUCGGCGGCAAGCCGACUGAAGCGUUUCUUCACACGACAGGGAAAUUUUCAGGGAAGAGAAUUCUGACUAUUUUCCUAUCGCUCCUAUUUCCUAUUACUUCAUGCCAACGUUAUCGGUUAGUUCGGCUAACCUUGUGUUGUUUUGCCAGUUAUUCUGAGACGGAGCUGAGGUGUUGUUCUGUGGCGACAUUCGCUGGUUAGCGCAGGGCCGGAGGCUUACGGGUGGAGAUGAGCGAGUGUGUAUAAUGCUCGCUGCUGCAAGUGCAUUAGACCAGUGACAACAUGCAAACCCUCUAAAACAUGUGUCUCUCCCUCCAAAAAUGUAUAUAAAAUAUAUUAAAAUUACAUGCAUAAAAUUAAUCAAAAAUAAAUAAAAUUACCUUUACAGCCAAUCCUUAUGAUGCAGGUCUGAACGGGUGUAGGUGUGUGUUGGACAAAAACGAUAAACAGGGAUUCUAUUUCUACUAUAUUAUUAUAUAUUAUUUCAGCAUGUGGUAAUGGCAAUAUGUUUCGCAAUAUAUUAAAUCACUUGCGGUGAACCCUUACUGCAAUAUAAUUAAAAGCUGACCUGCAUUAAUUAUGUUA
Molecule: long non-coding RNA, 1334 nt
Organism: Electrophorus electricus (electric eel)
Lineage: Eukaryota; Metazoa; Chordata; Actinopteri; Gymnotiformes; Gymnotidae
Source: RefSeq, a predicted model, not a curated record